GAUGAACGCUGGCGGCGUGCCUAAUACAUGCAAGUCGAGCGAACGGACGAGAAGCUUGCUUCUCUGAUGUUAGCGGCGGACGGGUGAGUAACACGUGGAUAACCUACCUAUAAGACUGGGAUCACUUCGGGAAACCGGCGCUAAUACCGGAUGAUAUUUUGAACCGCAUGGUUCAAAAGUGAAAGACGGUCUUGCUGUCACUUAUCGAUGGAUCCGCGCUGCAUUAGCUAGUUGGUACGGUAACGGCUUACCAAGGCUACGAUGCAUAUCCGACCGGAGAGGGUGAUCGGCCACACUGGAAGUGAGACACGGUCCUGAGUCCUACGGGAGGCAGCAGUAGGGAAUCGUCCGCAAUGGGCGAAAGCCUGACGGAGCAACGCCGCGUGAGUGAUGAAGGUCUUCGGAUCGUAAAACUCUGUUAUGAGGGAAGAACAUAUGUGUAAGUAACUGUGCACAGCUUGACGGUACCUAAUCAGAAAGCCACGGCUAACUACGUG
This 497-nucleotide ribosomal RNA is filed under the name uncultured bacterium. RNAcentral describes it as "partial 16S ribosomal RNA". It matches the Rfam family "Bacterial small subunit ribosomal RNA", at positions 28 to 507 of the family's 1533-position model. The record is from RNAcentral.